Molecule: ribosomal RNA, 420 nt
Filed under: Strongylura incisa (reef needlefish)
Lineage: Eukaryota; Metazoa; Chordata; Actinopteri; Beloniformes; Belonidae
Description: partial 12S ribosomal RNA
Rfam family: Bacterial small subunit ribosomal RNA
Source: RNAcentral
GGGAUUAGAUACCCCACUAUGCACAGCCCUAAACUUUGAUAGAAUUCUACACCCACUAUCCGCCAGGGUACUACGAGCUCUAGCUUAAAAUCCAAAGGACUUGGCGGUGCUUUAGACCCACCUAGAGGAGCCUGUUCUAGAACCGACAACCCCCGUUCAACCUCACCCUCCCUUGUUUAUCCCGCCUAUAUACCGCCGUCGUCAGCUUACCCCAUGAAGGAUUCAUAGUAAGCAAAACCAGUACAACUCAAAACGCCAGGUCGAGGUGUAGCGCAUGAGAGGGAAAGAAAUGGGCUACAUUCCCUAACCAAGGGUAUACGGAAAAUACAGUGAAAAAUGUGUUAGAAGGAGGAUUUAGCAGUAAGUAGAAAAUAGAGUGUUCUACUGAAACUGGCCCUGAAGCGCGCACACACCGCCCGU